Solanum dulcamara is the source of this 4700-nucleotide long non-coding RNA. RefSeq lists it as uncharacterized. The record is from RefSeq and is a predicted model, not a curated record. NCBI's taxonomy places the organism in Eukaryota, Viridiplantae, Streptophyta, Magnoliopsida, Solanales, Solanaceae. The transcript has 4 exons.
UAUAGAUUAAAAUUAUCUUUGUCGUUUAAAAUCAUGUCUUAGUUAGUGUGAUGUUAUACAUUUUUAACAAUUUAGAAAUCAUGCUAAUACGAUGUAACCACUAAUUCUCGACAUACCAUUUCGUAUAGAAAUCAUGCUCCUAUGAUUUUAUAAUUUUAAUAUAUCAUUUCUGUAUAUAUUUUAAUUAAUAUUUUAACAUACCAUAUUAGGUAGACAUCAUAUUCAUAGGAUUUAUAAGUUUUAAUAUAUCAUGUCCACAUAUACUUUAAGUAAUGUUCUUAACAUAUUAAUAAUAUAGAAAUCACACUCAUAUGAUCUUAAUAAUUAUUUGUCAUAUUAUUCUUACAUUGAAAUCACGCCCAUAACUUUCGAUAAAUCUUGUUAUAUUAUUUUUAAUAAUCUUUCGACUUACUAUCAAUUAGAAAUCUUGUUUAUAUGAUGUUAUAAAUACAUUAGUUAAUAACUAAAAUCAUUAAAAUGUGCUUUUAUUUAUCAAAUUAAUCGUAAAUAUUCAUGUCGAGUAAUUAAACUUUACCUUUAUGUCAUCUUACCUUAGUAUUCGUACACUUUUAAUAUUUAUUUUGACUUUCACAACCUAUGUUUGUUUUCAAUCAUGUUAAUUAAUUAAUAUAGAGGCUUAUUUGAGAUUUUACGUGCUCAAUGUCGUCCUACUUGUUUUGUUUGACGAUGUGUCUAAUUAAGAAACUUAUAUUUUCUUUAGUCUAAUACCUGUCCUAAUAGUACGUCCAAUGCCUCUUGGAUAUUAAGUUGGGACGCUAGACACCUUUUAAGACGCUAGUUUUUAAUAUUCCUUUUAGAUCGCUUUAGGAUUGAAUUAACAAACAAAUCUAGGAGGGGUAGGGGUAGAUAGGCCCUUCGGAAAUGAUGGAGAUCGACCCGAGCAGAAAACGACAAAAUACUAUAUUUUGUCUUCCGAUUAAUAAGCCGGCGCUGAUCCGAAGAACAUGAGUACAUAAAUAUUUCUACACUAUUUUAAAUACUUUUGUUUGUAUAUUAUUUGGGGUAGUUUAUUUAUUAUUUCGUUUGCCUUUUGCUAUUAUUUAAUUAAUUGAUAAUAUUUAUUUAUCCUGUGUUAGUUCUAAUAUUAAUUGUUUAAUUUAACUUAAUUAAAUCCCUAAAGAGAUACCAUUUUUGUUUUCAUCAUUUUUCCUUUAUUUAAUCAUUUUACUAAGUCAAACAUUCUUAUAAACUAUCUUAAAUAUUUUAAAAUUUAUAUUUUUCUCAAAAUUGUUUAAUACUUUAAUUAUUGUUAAAACACAUUUUCCCAAAGUUAGUCAAAUAAUUUUCAAAUCGUUGGACAACCGCAUGUUAGCGGCUAUUUUAAGUGCUAAAACCUUCUUAAAAUAGUAAUAUGAAUGUCGUACAUUUUUCUCUGAAUUUUUAAGACUUAAAUCUGUUAGGGUCUUUUAAAUUAAGUUUUCUUAAUUUCUUUUAAAAAUUAAGUGGCGACUCUUUUUUUUACUAAAAUUGAUUUUUUCUUAUAAAGAUGAAAUUAAUUUUAAACCACGCCCAUUUUUCGAUAUAACAGAGAAGAUUUGUGAGCCUGACAGUCAUGUAUGCAACCGUCAUGAAUGGGCUUAGUAAAAGGGGUCAUACUCAAAAAACUUUAAGUUUGCUCCGUUUAAUGGAACAGGGAAACACUAAGACCAACAUAUAUAUAUCUACAUCAUUGUUAUAGAUUCCUUUUGCAAAGAUAGAAACUUGGAUGCUGCUAUCACUCUUUUGAAUGAGAUGAAGCAGAGAGGUAUUUCUCCAAACAUAGUCGCAUGUAGUUCAUUAAUUGAUGGUUUGUGUAAGCUUGGUCAGUGGGAAAUGGUUAAGACUUUGUUCUCUGAGAUGGUGAACCAUAAUAUUUAUCCAAAUGUGCACAUCUUCAAUAUUCUAACAGAUGGCCUAUGCAAAGAAGGGAAAGUAGAAGAUGCCGAGGAAAUAAUGAAACACAUGGUUGAAAAAGGUGUAGAGCCUAAUAUAAUCACAUACAAUGCAAUAAUGGAUGGAUAUUGUUUGCGUGGUCAACUAGAUAGAGAAAGGAGAACUUUUUGAUAUAGUGAUAGAGAAGGGCAUUGAGUCUGACAUUUUUAGUUAUAACAUACUAAUAAAUGGAUACUGUAAGAAAAAGAAACUCGCCAAGGCCAUGCAAUUGCUUGGUAAAAUUUCUCAAAAGGGAUCAAAGCCUGAUACUUUUACCUACAAUACUAUCUUGCAAGGUCUGUUUGAAGUUGGAAGAACUGGUGAUGCAAAACAAAUUUACGCUGAGAUGCUAUCUGCAGGGACCAUGCCUGAUAUAUACGGUCAUGUCACUUUUCUCAAUGGUUAUUUUAAGUACGGACUUGUUGAAGAAGCUAUGUCACUCUUUAAUAAGUUAGAAAGAAGCAGAGAAUAUACUAAUAAUACAUUUUAUAGUGUUGUCAUUAACGGAUUGUGCAAAACUGGUAAACUUAACGAAGCACAUGCUGUUUUCAAGAAGCUUUCUUUCAUUGGAUUGCUCCCGGAUGUGAGAACAUACACUGUAAUGAUAAAUGGAUUUUGUCUUGAAGGGUUCUUUGAUGAAGCUAAAGAUCUUCUAAGAAAAAUGGAAGACAACGGUUGUUCUCCAAACAAUGUCACUUAUAAUGUUAUUUUGCAGGGAUUUCUCAGGUGCAACAAAAUUAGUGAAAUGACAUCUUUUAUGAAGGAAAUGGCUGGAAGGGGCUUCUCAUUUGAUGCAACUACAUUUGGUUUUUGGUAAACAUUGUAAGGGAGAAUCCUUCUGUCCUUGACAUGAUACUAGAGCUUCACUCGAAAAAUAAGAAGUGAAUAUUUCUUUUGUUUGAUUUAUCCGGCUACGCUAUCACUGUGAUACAAUUUCCUUUUUUUUUAAUCCCUGCAAAAGAAAUGACACCCAAUGCAUUUGCCAAAUGUGAUGGCAAUUGGAACAUUGCUUGAGCUUUCCAGACAACCUUUUGAGGAGGUACAUCAGUUUUGAUGUGAGAAAAAAUGGAGACCAUAUAGAUUUUCUUAAAAAAGAAAUAAUGGUUGAUGCAGGGCAAGUUGCUAGUACCGGAAUGGUUGCACCGAGUUACAACAAGCUUUUAUUAUGAUUACAUCCUUCAGCAGGUUAAAGAUGCAGUUGAAUUGUUCAAAAAAUUGGUGAGAGAGAAGAUUUGUGAGCCUAAUGAAGUCAUGUAUUCAACCGUCAUGAAUGGGCUUAGCAAAAGGGGCCAUACUGACAAGACUUUAAGUUUGCUCCGGUUAAUGGAACAAGGGAACACUAAGCCUAGCAUAGUUAACUACAACAUUGUCAUAGAUGCCCUAUGCAAAGAUGGAAACUUAGAUGCUGUUAUCAACCUUUUGAACGAGAUGAAGCAGAAAGGCAUACCUCCAGAUGUAGUCAGAUAUAAUUCAAUAAUUGAUGGUUUGUGUAGGAUUGGUCAGUCGGAAAAGGUUAAGAUUAUGUUCUCUGAGAUGGUGAACUAUAAUAUUUAUCCAAAUGUGCACUCCUUCACCAUACUAAUAGAUGGACUAUGCAAAGAAAGGAAAGUUGAAGAUGCCGAGGAAGUAAUGAAACACAUGGUCGAAAAGGGUGUAGAGCCUGAUAUAAUCACCUACAGUGCGAUAAUGGACGGGUAUUGUUUGCGUGGUCAACUAGAUAGAGCGAGGAGAAUUUUGAUAUCUUGAUAUAGACAAGGGCAUUGAGCUUAACAUUUUUAGCUUUAAUAUGCUAAUAAAUGGAUACUGUAAGAAAAAGCAACUUGCCGAGGCCAUGCAAUUUUUUGGUAAAAUUUCUCAAAAGGGAUCAAAACUUGUUACUGUUGCCCACAAUAUUGUCUUGCAAGGUCUGUUUGAAGCUGGAAGAAUUGAUGUUGCCAAAUCAAUUUAUGCCGAGAUGCUAUCUGCGGGGCCCAUACCUGAUUUAUACACUCAUCACACUUUGCUCAAUGGUUAUUUUAUGUAUGGACUUGUUGAAGAAGCUUUGUCAGGCUUAUCGAGGAGACUGAUGUUAUAGAGAUGGUGUCCAUCAGAGAUGUUGUCUCUACUGUUGCAAGUGAGCAUAUGGAUGAGCUGAACCAUUUGAAAUUUUGAAUGCUUACAUACAAGGAGGAGGAUGGUAAAUACAUGGUUCAAGUGCUUAAUCCUAUAGAUAUUUGCAUGCUUGGUUCUUUUAGUAUUGGUAUGUGCCUUUUAAGAUGUGGCCUACUGCAUAUUUUCCCAGUUUCAUGUGCCUUAUAAUAUGAUGAGAGAUGUUAUGCGACAACUUAUGGAGGUAGGUUUAUCUCGUUAAGUUCACAACUAAGGAGCUGUUAGCUGCUGAGGGUUGAAAAGUCCCACUUUAAGUUGGUUGCAACAAAUGCGGAGCCGGAAUUUAGAGUUUAUGGGUUUUGAACUCACCAUUGAACUAAUAAUCGUCACAGUUACUGGGUUCACUCAUCCGAACGUGAAACUAACACCCUCCCUUCACCUCUGAGUUGCAACUCGCAAAUUGAACGACCCAAAGAUUCAUGUUUGAAGAAUUGGACAACAUUGGAGAUGAAGCCUUGUUCUUGUGUGACCAGUUUUGUAUACUAUAUGAACUAAAUUUUAUGAUUGGAAUCAUCAGGAAGUCAAUACAUGAUGGAUCUCAUACUCUAUUAUGAUUGUAACAACAUGCAACCAAUGUUAUAAAUUUCUGCUUCAAGAGUUAUUACUUCUCAUCCGUUUCA